RNAcentral lists this unclassified non-coding RNA (306 nucleotides) under Hevea brasiliensis (rubber tree). The record is from RNAcentral. Lineage: Eukaryota; Viridiplantae; Streptophyta; Magnoliopsida; Malpighiales; Euphorbiaceae.
GAUAAUGGAAGGUAAAGUAUCAAAACUUCUUAACCCACCUGAUGGCAUAGUUAUUAAAAACUCAAGGCGCAUUAAGGGGCUAAGGGCUUCUGGAGUUUAGGCGCAAGGUGCAAGGUCAAGGCGUACACCUGGGCAAGGUGAGACGCAAAAAAAAAAAAUUCAAAAUAAAAUAAAUAUGAAUAUUUCAUCGAACUUCAAAUAACAUAAAUCUAAAAAUAAUAAUAACCAAUAAGUAUUGAAGUACUAAUAUAUUAAAACUUGACUAGUCUUUUGAUAUUUCACAACUAAAGUCAAGCAAUUAUAAAA